RNAcentral lists this ribosomal RNA (1966 nucleotides) under human gut metagenome. Its description in RNAcentral is "bacterial LSU rRNA". It matches the Rfam family "Bacterial large subunit ribosomal RNA", at positions 3 to 1985 of the family's 2925-position model. The record is from RNAcentral.
UCAAGUAGAAAAGGGCGCAUGGUGAAUGCCUAGGCACUAGAAGCCGAUGAAGGACGUGACGAACCACGAAAGGCUUCGGGGAGCAGUAAGUAAGCAAUGAUCCGGAGAUAUCCGAAUGGGGGAACCCAAUACCGGGAGGUAUUAUCAAGAGCUGUUAAGGCUGUUGAAGGAAGACGCAGUGAACUGAAACAUCUAAGUAGCUGCAGGAAGAGAAAGAAAAAUCGAUUUCCCAAGUAGCGGCGAGCGAACAGGAAAGAGCCCAAACCAGCUGGCUUGCCAGUUGGGGUAGUAGGACUGCAGGAAAGCACUUGAAGCGAUAGCAGAAUUAUCUGGAAAGAUAAGCCAGAGAGGGUGAGAGCCCCGUAAGCGAAAUUGCAGAGAGACUUAGCAGGAUCCUGAGUAGGUCGGGACACGAGGAAUCCCGAUUGAAACCGCGAGGACCAUCUCGCAAGGCUAAAUACUAACUAGUGACCGAUAGUGAACCAGUACCGUGAGGGAAAGGUGAAAAGAACCCCGGAAGGGGAGUGAAAGAGAACCUGAAACCGUGUGCCUACAAGUAGUCAAAGCACAUUAAAGUGUAAUGGCGUGCCUUUUGUAGAAUGAACCGGCGAGUUACGUUAUGGUGCAAGGUUAAGUCAGAAAAGACGGAGCCGGAGCGAAAGCGAGUCUGAAGAGGGCGAGAGAGUAUCAUGACGUAGACCCGAAACCAAGUGACCUACCCAUGACCAGGUUGAAGGCGUGGUAAAACACGCUGGAGGACCGAACCCACGUGAGUUAAAAAUCGCGGGGAUGAGUUGUGGGUAGCGGUGAAAUUCCAAACGAACUUGGAGAUAGCUGGUUCUCUCCGAAAUAGCUUUAGGGCUAGCCUCGUGUGAAUGAUAAUGGAGGUAGAGCGCUGUUUGGACUAGGGGCCCGUCAGGGGUUACUGAAUCCAGAUAAACUCCGAAUGCCAGAUAUCAAUGCACGGGAGUCAGACUGCGAGUGAUAAGAUCCGUAGUCGAAAGGGAAACAGCCCAGAUCACCAGUUAAGGUCCCCAAAUCUAUGCUAAGUGGAAAAGGAUGUGGAGUUGCGUAGACAACUAGGAUGUUGGCUUAGAAGCAGCCACCAUUUAAAGAGUGCGUAAUAGCUCACUAGUCGAGUGACGCUGCGCCGAAAAUGUACCGGGGCUAAGCAUAGUACCGAAACUGUGGAUGCAUAUCAAAGGAUAUGCGUGGUAGGAGAGCGUUCUAAGUGCGGAGAAGUUAGAUCGAGAGGACUAAUGGAGCGCUUAGAAGUGAGAAUGCCGGUAUGAGUAGCGAAAGAUAGGUGAGAAUCCUAUCCGCCGAAAGACUAAGGUUUCCUGGGGCAGGCUCGUCCGCCCAGGGUAAGUCGGGACCUAAGGUAAGGCCGAGAGGCGUAGCCGAUGGACAACAGGUAGAGAUUCCUGUACUGAAAUUGUUCGAUAUGAGCAAAGGAGGGACGCAGGAGGCUAAUGACGCAUGUUGCUGGAAAUACAUGUGCAAGCAGUAAGAAGAAAGAUGAGUCAAAUGCUUGUCUAAAGAAAUCAAGCUGUGAUGCGGAGCGAAAUUAAAGUAGCGAAGGUCAUGAUGUCACACUGCCAAGAAAAGCUUCUAGCCAGAGCAAUUUUACCCGUACCGCAAACCGACACAGGUAGUCGAGUGGAGAACACUCAGGUGAGCGAGAGAACUCUCGUUAAGGAACUCGGCAAAAUGACCCCGUAACUUCGGGAGAAGGGGUGCUGAUGGUAAAAGAUCAGCCGCAGUGAAUAGGCCCAAACAACUGUUUAUCAAAAACACAGGUAUCUGCAAAAUCGUAAGAUGACGUAUAGGUGCUGACACCUGCCCGGUGCUGGAAGGUUAAGAGGAGAGCUUAGCGCAAGCGAAGGUUUGAAUUGAAGCCCCAGUAAACGGCGGCCGUAACUAUAACGGUCCUAAGGUAGCGAAAUUCCUUGUCGGGUAAGUUCCG